AGUGCUUGCACAACUGGUGUUGGCCGCGGUCUUCAAAACCGUUGAGCCGUACGUUAACCGUGCGGCUGGUGGGUUCGAUUCCCAUGCACUUCC
RNAcentral lists this transfer RNA (93 nucleotides) under marine eukaryotic metagenome. RNAcentral's name for it is "Selenocysteine transfer RNA". It matches the Rfam family "Selenocysteine transfer RNA". The record is from RNAcentral.